AUUGAACGCUGGGGGCAUGCUUUACACCUCCACGUCGAACGGCCGCGCUGGCUUCCGCCUGGCGGCUAGUGGCGAACGGGUGCGUAAUCCCUCGGAACGUGCCCCGUAGUGGGGGAUAGCACUGCGACAGCCGGAUUAAUACCGCAUACGACCUGAGGGUGAAAGCGGGGGACCGAAAGGCCUCGCGCCUUUGCAGCGGCCGAUGUCGGAUUAGCUAGUUGGUGGGGUAAAGGCUUACCAAGGCCACGAUCCGUAGCUGGUCUGAGAGGACGACCAGCCACACGGGGACUGAGACACGGCCCAGACUCCUACGGGUGGCAGCAGUGGGGAAUUUUGGACAAUGGGGGCAACCCUGAUCCAGCCAUGCCGCGUGCGGGAAGAAGGCCUUCGGGUUGUAAACCGCUUUUGUUCGGGAAGAACUCCUCUGGGCUAAUACCCCGGGGGGAUGACGGUACCGGAAGAAUAAGCACCGGCUAACUACGUG
RNAcentral lists this ribosomal RNA (484 nucleotides) under uncultured bacterium. RNAcentral's name for it is "partial 16S ribosomal RNA". It matches the Rfam family "Bacterial small subunit ribosomal RNA", at positions 28 to 507 of the family's 1533-position model. The record is from RNAcentral.